RNAcentral lists this ribosomal RNA (449 nucleotides) under uncultured bacterium. RNAcentral's name for it is "partial 16S ribosomal RNA". It matches the Rfam family "Bacterial small subunit ribosomal RNA", at positions 29 to 523 of the family's 1533-position model. The record is from RNAcentral.
AGCGAACGCUGGCGGCAGGCCUAACACAUGCAAGUCGAACGAACUCUUCGGAGUUAGUGGCGGACGGGUGAGUAACACGUGGGAACGUGCCUUUAGGUUCGGAAUAACUCAGGGAAACUUGUGCUAAUACCGAAUGUGCCCUUCGGGGGAAAGAUUUAUCGCCUUUAGAGCGGCCCGCGUCUGAUUAGCUAGUUGGUGAGGUAAGGGCUCACCAAGGCGACGAUCAGUAGCUGGUCUGAGAGGAUGAUCAGCCACAUUGGGACUGAGACACGGCCCAGACUCCUACGGGAGGCAGCAGUGGGGAAUCUUGCGCAAUGGGCGAAAGCCUGACGCAGCCAUGCCGCGUGAAUGAUGAAGGUCUUAGGAUUGUAAAAUUCUUUCACCGGGGACGAUAAUGACGGUACCCGGAGAAGAAGCCCCGGCUAACUUCGUGCCAGCAGCCGCCGUAA